GGGUGCCAUUGCCUUCUCCAUUGGGUAGAAUAAACGUGCGCUAUAACUGAAAGAACUAAAAUACAGACUCUAUGAACAGGGAUACUUAGGGAAGUCUGAAGUCAAGGGAGGAGAUCAAAACAAGGACAUUGGAAAAACUUCAAUUAGAAUAUCCUGUUGUCUCCUUAUAUGAGAAGUUGCAUGUGACUUUCUCCUAUAUAGAAGAAAAGCUUUUGGUGGGCAGGGACCACAUUGCACCAUCUUGGCAUGUUCUGCAUUGGUAAUAAAUAGGUUGUCAGCAAGGAUUUUUGAAUGAAGAAUUAGGUAAACAAGACAAGCAUGUGUUCACAUUAUGGGAAUAUACAUGGGAUUGACAAUAAAUCCAGAGACUUAAAAUCUUGAUUUUUAAUACAUUUUUUUAUUGAAAUACCAACUUACAAAAGUUGGUAUUUCUCCUAAUUCACAUAGUUUCCAUUUUCUAUAGAUGAGUGGCUCAAUCAGGGAGGCCGGUAAUGAUUAAGUAUAUAUUAUAGUUUUAGGCAUCUCUGUUGGAAAUUUCCACAUAAUUUUGUUUUUACUUUCAUGAACAUUUCAUGCUGAGUCCUGGAGUGUUUUACUGUUUUUGUAAUGAAAUUCCCUCCCAACUCCACAUGGUCCAUAUUCACUCAUACCACUCUUUCUUUCUUUGUGUUUCUUACUUUUAUUUUACUGAAUUAGGAAUGCAGCAUUUACCGAAAAAAAAAAAAAAAAAAAAGGACACAAAUGGUGCAGCCACCCAAGGACCAAGACGGUAGCCUCUUCAGUAAGCGGCAUUGCAAACCUCAAUAUAAAUUCCCCCUAAUUGAAAAAGCCAGAUUCCAGUUCUUUUAUCAAAAAGUGCGGGCAGCUGUUGUCAGGAGCCUUCAGAUAGAGAUCCCUUACCCCACUGCCAGCACAAGAGAGAGAGAAAAGACGGGAGAGAAACUUUUAGAAACUGCAGAGAAAACGCCACGUUCCUCCUGUUGAGUGGGGUCGUGAGCUUCGGGUGUCUGAAAAGGAACUGGGCAGAGUGGGGAAGGGAUGUUUUCUGGUCAACUUGACAAAUCCCAUACCAGAUAUUUUAUCUGCAUUUUUGCAAACUGUACAUUUCCAAGUAAAAGAUGAGACUUUCGCUUCUCCAGGCAGGCCCCUCUGGCUAAAAUGGCUGGAAGACAACAUGUUCUCUGGGAUGGAGCAGAGAUGGGGAGGAGGCAGGAGACUUUCUCCCAUCAUGAACACUUGCACAUGAUCUCCAAGAAGAUUUGUUUCCAGUCUUCUGACAGCUGUUCUGAUAAUCCCCUGUACAAAUCAUUCAUACAUUUCAGCUGCAAUAUAUGGGAAGGACUGAUGCUGAAGCUGAAACUCCAGUACUUUGGUCACUUG
Long non-coding RNA from Bubalus bubalis (water buffalo), 1380 nucleotides. RefSeq lists it as uncharacterized. The record is from RefSeq and is a predicted model, not a curated record. The transcript is spliced from 4 exons. NCBI's taxonomy places the organism in Eukaryota, Metazoa, Chordata, Mammalia, Artiodactyla, Bovidae.